AGCAGCCGCGGUAAUUCCAGCUCCAAUAGCGUAUAUUAAAGUUGUUGCAGUUAAAAAGCUCGUAGUUGAACCUUGGGCCUGGCUGGCCGGUCCGCCUCACCGCGAGUACUGGUCCGGCUGGGCCUUUCCUUCUGGGGAACCUCAUGGCCUUCACUGGCUGUGGGGGGAACCAGGACUUUUACUGUGAAAAAAUUAGAGUGUUUAAAGCAGGCAAUCGCUUGAAUACAUUAGCAUGGAAUAAUGAAAUAGGACGUUCGAUCCUAUUUUGUUGGUUUCUAGGAUUGACGUAAUGAUUAAUAGGGAUAGUUGGGGGCAUUAGUAUUCAAUUGUCAGAGGUGAAAUUCUUGGAUUUAUUGAAGACUAACUACUGCGAAAGCAUUUGCCAAGGAUGUUUUCAUUAAUCAAGAACGAAAGUUAGGGGAUCGAAGACGAUCAGAUACCGUCGUAGUCUUAACCAUAAACUAUGCCGACUAGGGAUCGGAUGAUGUUAAUUUUUUAAUGACUCA
RNAcentral lists this ribosomal RNA (506 nucleotides) under uncultured Paraglomus. Its description in RNAcentral is "SSU rRNA". It matches the Rfam family "Eukaryotic small subunit ribosomal RNA", at positions 569 to 1078 of the family's 1831-position model. Lineage: Eukaryota; Fungi; Glomeromycota; Glomeromycetes; Paraglomerales; Paraglomeraceae. The record is from RNAcentral.